This is a long non-coding RNA of Lagopus muta (rock ptarmigan), 826 nucleotides long. RefSeq lists it as uncharacterized. The transcript has 4 exons. Lineage: Eukaryota; Metazoa; Chordata; Aves; Galliformes; Phasianidae. The record is from RefSeq and is a predicted model, not a curated record.
UUCACUGAAAUCAAAUUUGAUGUGCAAAUCAAAGCAGAAACUGAACCUAAUCAGAUGGAUUCAUUAGAAGUUCAACACACCUAAUAACAUCUCUCUUUUAUAUUGGCUCCUUUUAGCCUGUUUCCUUGGCAGUUAGAGAACUCUGAGAUGAGAGACUUUCUCUCCCAGAAGAUAUUUUUUGUUGCUCUGUGUCUGAAGCCCAAACACGUCCUCUGCAGCUGCAUUAUAACAAAAACAAGCCAAACAUUCCAGUGGAUCAGCGACUGCUGCAAGGACAAGAAGAAAUAGAAACGGCCUAAAACUUGAACAUAGGAAAUUCCAGAUGAACAUGAAGAACAACUUUACAGUAAGGAUGAUGGAGCAUUAGAAGAGGCCACCCAUAGAGGCUGUGGAGUCUCUUCCUCUGUGCAAGCAACAGUGGAGAACUGCUUAAUUAGACCUCCCUCCCACAAAAAACUACAAAACCUAAUUAUAUUCCUGUGGUUUUAGGUGUCCUAUACUGCUCUAAAAACAAAACAAAAGGCACUUCUGCUAUUAAGACAUAAUGGGCAAAGGCUACAAUGCAGGUAAACACAGAAAAUAGUGGAUUUGCCUCAGAAAUUUUUGUAGAUAGAUUAAUUGCAUAUUUAACUCUGUAAAAAAAGUAAUUACGAAGAUUUGAUCAUGUCUUCAAGUUUGAGAUGUCCAACGUAUGCAAAGCUGGCACCUAAUAUUUCAGCUACCUAGCAGAUGUUGAUGUGGUAACUAUGAGUACUUAUCCACUAAAAAAUAUUCUUAUACUCAAUAUGCAGUAUAUUUGAGUAAUAAAAAUCAGAACCACAUUUUA